GGUGAAGAACGGGAUAUGCAGAGCAAGAGUAGAGACCUGAGGUUCUUCCUGUGAGUUCCAAGCAAAGGGGUGAUGAUGAGAACAGUGGUGGUGUAAAGUCAUCGUGUAUGAGGAAAUACAUCUGGGAAGUUAAAUGGUACAUGCAAGGGGACAGAGACAAGUACUGAAGAAAUAGAAUUUACAGGCUUCCAGAUGAGGAUGAGAGAUUCUCUGGCUUUACUGGCAAUCCCUGGAUUCUCCUGGUGCUCCUGCUGCAGGUACAGACACACAACCAUGACCACGGUCACUGCCCUCAGUAAGUAGUGUUCAUAGUGCUCAUUACUACCCACUGGGUAGUAGGGCUCAUGACUACCUUCUGAUCACUUAGUGAAUUAGUCUUCCAAUCAGUAAAGACUCCAUCUCCAAUCAUGUAUCUAAAUUUCUAACCCUGGUUGGGACCUACCACCUGCAUCUCAUUGUUCUUCUCCACUUCAGCUUGGGCUCUCAAUUACUAGACCAACUCUGAUUUAAACAUACUCUGGAGUUCCUGAGAAAUUCCUCUAUUUCUUGGCUUUAAAUGUUUAACUCAGUCCCUUUCAACCCACAAAAAUGACUCACGGGCCAGCGUGUUAGUUCUGGACCCAGACUUUGAUCCAAAAAUUCUGAUUGGCCUUUGGUUUCUUCUGACCCGUCAUCUAAUAACACAACGAUGCUGCUGAUCUCCCUGAUGAAUAUUUUUAACGAGGUUGAAAGCUCGUAAGAACACUUAAAAUCCCUAUUUUUGAUAUAAACAAUUAUCUGUGUUAUGGUAAAAAAAAAAAAGGUGAAAAAUGUUUUGUUCCUCUUACAAAAAAGACUUUCUACCUUUUAAUCUCUUAGUUUAGAAGAGAAAUAAAAGUUCUAUUACUUAAUGGACACUCUUGUGAAAUAAGCCUGUGCAUUUGUCAAAAGAAACUAUUGUCAGUACUUCAAACAUUCUAAUUCAAAUAGCACAGAUAAUGUAAACUCACUUUAAUCUUCUUGAAAACGUCUCCAAACGAGGAAAGAAGAAAAAAAACCCUUUUGCUCUUGAUGUUGCAUUUUAUGAGCGAUCCUUUGCUUCUUUGCUGAUUAAAAGGCUGACUCUCUGUUUCUUUGCUGAUUUAAUGAGGAUUCUCUUAAAUGCCAUUGUCGUUUAUGGAGAAUAUUUGCCAGGAAGAUAGCCUAAAAGACUUUACCUCAAAGGACUGAAAGGUCAGCCCGACGUGGUAGCUCUCAGACACUGUUAUUUUCCACACACAUUCUUUCAUCGGGCGAUAGUCAUCAGGAUAAUUGGGAGACUGAAUCUGUCCUUCAUUUUUACGUAUCUCACCUCCACAGAUCGCUGAAGAAAGCCAAAAAAUAAACAAAUAACUAAGCCUGGACAUGCUAUUUCAUUUUCAUUUUCUUCUAGGGUAACAUUGAAGUUCAGCUCCUGUAGCUCAGUACAUAAAGACCAGGCUAUAAAAAUCAAAGUUGACUGGUUGUAAUGUAGCAAAUAUUUAUGUGGUAAAAAAAACCUAGUAAAGUAACUACAAAUAUUAGAUAAUGGUCAAGGAAUAAAUAAUUUUUAAUCCUAUCUUAACGAAAAGGUAUUUUUUAACCUUUAAAAACCUUUAGUGGCUUUGUGAAUUUAUUCUCUGUGAGUUUGUUCUGUGAUUCUCUGAGCUGCUUCCUUUGGUCUUUCGACCACAGGUAAAAUAGCUCAUCAGAAGAGGAGCCUCAUCCUGAACAGAACUCACUGGGUCUCUGGCAGCGAGUUAGUGUCAUGUGCGCAGCGUCCGUGACUCCCUCCAAAUAAUCCUCUUCACUACUAGGCAGUUAAUCCUUAAAACAAAAUGCUUCCGUUUACUUAAAAGUUUAAGGGAAGCAGAAAUCUUCUGUCUUCAAAAUUACUUAAACUGCUGUACUAGGAAGUGUCUCCUCCACCCACAACCUGGCAAGAAAGGAGCUGGUUUUAAAGCCAAGAAAGCACAAUGCCAGUUUAUUGUUUUAGAGAAGCAUAAAACAAAGCAUUUAAUAAGUCCUUCCUCAAAUGCUGACUCUCUUAUUUAGAUAAAGCAUGCCUCAGAAAUCGGCACAAUUACUUUCUGUGCAAUUUCCUCUAAUAAAAAGUAUUUCGGGAAUACAGGGACCAAACAGACACAAAAUCAGUACAAAGGAAAAUGAUAAUUUCUUCAUAAUGUUUUAAAACUAUCAUGAAACAAUUAAACUUUAAGAAUUCUUGAGCCAUUUGCUUUUUUCUCCACACAUCCUGAACACAUUUAGAUAUUAUUACAUCACUGAUACUAGACAACAGGUUGUUCUUGCAAUUUAAAUUUACUGUUAAAAUUAUCUGUAUGAAUAUUAUAAUACAGAUUCAGAAAAAUUCAUAAUUUUACAAUAUGGUCACAAUGUCAUUGUAAUGAAAUUAAGAAACGAACAUUUCUGUUGAGAUAUAAGAUGAACUACUCUCUAAAAUUCAAUGUGACUUACCUUCAUAGACAGCUGCAAAGCCUUUUCCUACCCAAUUACUGCUGCUACGAAACUCAAUCCACAUUCUGCUGUCUGUAGAAGUAAGAACUUCAGGCAAUUUGUCCCCACAGAAUCUACC
RNAcentral lists this long non-coding RNA (2590 nucleotides) under Homo sapiens (human). RNAcentral's name for it is "HSALNT0323279". The record is from RNAcentral. Lineage: Eukaryota; Metazoa; Chordata; Mammalia; Primates; Hominidae.